RNAcentral lists this ribosomal RNA (380 nucleotides) under uncultured eukaryote. Its description in RNAcentral is "partial 18S ribosomal RNA". It matches the Rfam family "Eukaryotic small subunit ribosomal RNA", at positions 592 to 976 of the family's 1831-position model. The record is from RNAcentral.
CAAUAGCGUAUAUUAAAGCUGUUGCGGUUAAAAAGCUCGUAGUUGGAUUUCUGUCAAGUACAACUGGUCCGCCCUCCGGGUGAGCACAUAGUUUGGUCUUGGCAUCUUGCUGGAAAUUGUUGCUGCACUUGGCUGUGUGGCGCAGUGUCCAGCACUUUCACUUUGAGGAAAUUGGAGUGUUUCAAGCAGGCAAUGCCUUUGAACACAGUAGCAUGGAAUAAUUAGAUUGGGCUUUUGCUCCAAUUUGUCGGUUUCUGGAGCUGAGGUGAGAAUUAAUGGGGAUUGUGGGGGGCAUCCGAAUUUAGCCGUCAGAGGUGAAAUUCUUGGAUCGGCUAAAGACGGACAACUGCGAAAGCGUUUGCCCAGGAUGUUUUCAUUGA